Molecule: ribosomal RNA, 481 nt
Filed under: uncultured bacterium
Lineage: Bacteria
Description: SSU rRNA
Rfam family: Bacterial small subunit ribosomal RNA
Source: RNAcentral
AGGACGAACGCUGGCGGCGUGCUUAACACAUGCAAGUCGAACGGUGAAGCCUUUCGGGGUGGAUCAGUGGCGAACGGGUGAGUAACACGUGAGUAAUCUGCCCUUGACUCUGGGAUAACUUCGGGAAACCGUGGCUAAUACCGGAUAUGACGCAUGGUCGCAUGGUCUGUGUGUGGAAAGAUUUAUUGGUCAGGGAUGAGCUCGCGGCCUAUCAGCUUGUUGGUGGGGUAAUGGCCUACCAAGGCGACGACGGGUAGCCGGCCUGAGAGGGCGAGUCGGCCGACGACUGGGACUGAGACACGGCCCAGACUCCUACGGGAGGCAGCAGUGGGGAAUAUUGCGCAAUGGGCGGAAGCCUGACGCAGCGACGCCGCGUGAGGGAUGAAGGCCUUCGGGUCGUAAACCUCUUUCAGCAGGGAAGAAGCUUUUGGGUGACGGUACCUGCAGAAGAAGCACCGGCUAACUACGUGCCAGCAGCCGC